CCUACGGGAGGCAGCAGUAGGGAAUAUUGCUCAAUGGGGGAAACCCUGAAGCAGCAACGCCGCGUGGAGGAUGAAGGUUUUCGGAUUGUAAACUUCUUUUGUUAGAGUAGAUAAUGACGGUAUCUAACGAAUAAGCACCGGCUAACUCCGUGCCAGCAGCCGCGGUAAUACGGAGGGUGCAAGCGUUACUCGGAAUCACUGGGCGUAAAGAGCGCGUAGGCGGGAUAGCAAGUCAGAUGUGAAAUCCUAUGGCUUAACCAUAGAACUGCAUUUGAAACUGUGAUUCUAGAGUAUGGGAGAGGUAGGUGGAAUGCUUGGUGUAGGGGUAAAAUGCGUAGAGAUCAAGAGGAAUACUCAUUGCGAAGGCGACCUGCUAGAACAUAACUGACGCUGAUGCGCGAAAGCGUGGGGAGCAAACAGGAUUAGAUACCCGGGUAGUC
RNAcentral lists this ribosomal RNA (440 nucleotides) under uncultured bacterium. Its description in RNAcentral is "partial 16S ribosomal RNA". It matches the Rfam family "Bacterial small subunit ribosomal RNA", at positions 338 to 795 of the family's 1533-position model. The record is from RNAcentral.